AAAGAUUAAGCCAUGCAUGUCUAAGUAUAAGCACUUUAUACUGUGAAACUGCGAAUGGCUCAUUAAAUCAGUUAUCGUUUAUUUGAUAGUACCUUACUACAUGGAUACCUGUGGUAAUUCUAGAGCUAAUACAUGCUAAAAACCUCGACUUCGGAAGGGGUGUAUUUAUUAGAUAAAAAACCAACGCCCUUCGGGGCUCCUUGGUGAAUCAUAAUAACUAAGCGAAUCGCAUGGCCUUGCGCCGGCGAUGGUUCAUUCAAAUUUCUGCCCUAUCAACUUUCGAUGGUAGGAUAGUGGCCUACCAUGGUGGCAACGGGUAACGGGGAAU
Molecule: ribosomal RNA, 328 nt
Filed under: uncultured fungus
Lineage: Eukaryota; Fungi
Description: SSU rRNA
Rfam family: Eukaryotic small subunit ribosomal RNA
Source: RNAcentral